RNAcentral lists this ribosomal RNA (253 nucleotides) under uncultured bacterium. RNAcentral describes it as "partial 16S ribosomal RNA". It matches the Rfam family "Bacterial small subunit ribosomal RNA", at positions 524 to 776 of the family's 1533-position model. The record is from RNAcentral.
UACGGGGGAUGCAAGCGUUAUCCGGAAUCAUUGGGCGUAAAGCGCCUGUAGGUUGUUUAAUAAGUCUGUUGUUAAAGACUGGGGCUUAACCCCAGGAAAGCGAUGGAAACUACUAGACUUGAGUAUGGCAGGGGUAGAGGGAAUUUCUAGUGUAGCGGUGAAAUGCGUAGAUAUUAGAAAGAACACCGGUGGCGAAGGCGCUCUACUGGACCAUUACUGACACUCAGAGGCGAAAGCGUGGGGAGCAAACAGG